RNAcentral lists this long non-coding RNA (796 nucleotides) under Sorghum bicolor (sorghum). RNAcentral's name for it is "long non-coding RNA (SBIC_LNC015142)". The record is from RNAcentral. Lineage: Eukaryota; Viridiplantae; Streptophyta; Magnoliopsida; Poales; Poaceae.
UUCCUUUGUUGCUUUCCUUAGAUAAAAGAGAGAUGAAAGAAAAUGUCCUUGAAGAGAGACUCAACCUAGCUUGAACCAUGGGUAUUUAACAUUUUGCCAUCGUUACUAAUGGCGCUCCAUCAAAUGUUAGUUUUUGAAUGACAUCCAUAUUUAUCAUCGGAGAGAGUGAAACUUACCUAACUUUAUGCUAUUUUACUGAGAUAACACGGCACAUAGGCGUGCUAGUGUGGAUGUGAGGAUGUGAAAAGUAUCAAAAAAAUCACUAAAAAGGUAUGCAAAAAACAAGAUCCACCAUAUCAUGCACAAGACACGUGGGGCAACAUGGUCCUAUCUAGUUGUUAUUAAUAAUUUAAAUGCCACCAACAAGUAAUGAAUGUAUGAAAUAGAACCUGAUUUAUUAAAUAAACUCACAUUAAGACCCUACAAAAUAAUCAAGAUCGAUAAAAGUUAGUUCUUCAAGACUUGAAGACUUUUCACUCAACUUUUUCGAGUUAAGCGGAAACUAAGAGGCUACACCGAUUAGAUGCACUAUUUAUGCAUGCAGGAUAAAGAUAAAAAAAUAUAAAGAUUCUUUCGAUAGUUCCAUGGAUUAUGUGGAACCACUCAGUGGGAUGCAUUGUUACAUCAUGAUGGCACAUAAAUAGAAUACAUAAUUGAAACAAUAUCAAAAAUUUCUCGGCAAGAUGUUUGCUUGAAUCUAAGCCUUAUCCAACUAUAGGAGACAAAUGACUAGUGUUGAUGUUGAAUUCAUUUCUCAUUUGAAAAUUUGGAUAGAGAAAUAACUAAAAUAAAAGUU